CAGCCGCCACGGUAAUACGGAGGGUGCAAGCGUUAAUCGGAAUUACUGGGCGUAAAGCGCACGCAGGCGGUCUGACAAGUCAGAUGUGAAAUCCCCGGGCUUAACCUGGUAACUGCAUUUGAAACUGUCAGGCUGGAGUCUUGUAGAGGGGGGUGGAAUUCCAGGUGUAGCGGUGAAAUGCGUAGAGAUCUGGAGGAAUACCGGUGGCGAAGGCGGCCCCCUGGACAAAGACUGACGCUCAGGUGCGAAAGCGUGAGGAGCAAACAGGAUUAGAUACCCCGGUAGUCCCUGUCUCUUAUAC
RNAcentral lists this ribosomal RNA (301 nucleotides) under uncultured bacterium. RNAcentral's name for it is "partial 16S ribosomal RNA". It matches the Rfam family "Bacterial small subunit ribosomal RNA", at positions 509 to 807 of the family's 1533-position model. The record is from RNAcentral.